Molecule: ribosomal RNA, 460 nt
Filed under: uncultured bacterium
Lineage: Bacteria
Description: partial 16S ribosomal RNA
Rfam family: Bacterial small subunit ribosomal RNA
Source: RNAcentral
CCUACGGGAGGCAGCAGUGAGGAAUAUUCGUCAAUGGGCGGAAGCCUGAACCAGCCAAGUCGCGUGCAGGAUGACGGCCCUACGGGUUGUAAACUGCUUUUAUACGGGAAUAACGCGCCUUACGUGUAGGGCUUUGCAUGUACCGUAUGAAUAAGGACCGGCUAAUUCCGUGCCAGCCGCCGCGGUAAUACGGAAGGUCCGGGCGUUAUCCGGAUUUAUUGGGUUUAAAGGGAGCGUAGGCGGCAUGUCAAGCGUGCUGUGAAAUGUCCGGGCUCAACCCGGGCCUUGCAGCGCGAACUGGCGUGCUUGAGUCCGCGGAAAGCAGGCGGAAGUCGACGUGUAGCGGUGAAAUGCUUAGAUAUGACGAAGAACCCCGAUUGCGAAGGCAGCUUGCUGCAGCGGAACUGACGCUGAUGCUCGAAAGCGCGGGUAUCGAACAGGAUUAGAUACCCUAGUAGUC